UCAACCUGAGAGUUUGAUCCUGGCUCAGAGCGAACGCUGGCGGCAGGCCUAACACAUGCAAGUCGAACGGAUCCUUCGGGAUUAGUGGCGGACGGGUGAGUAACACGUGGGAACGUGCCUUUUGGUUCGGAACAACUCAGGGAAACUUGAGCUAAUACCGGAUAAGCCUUUCGAGGGAAAGAUUUAUCGCCAUUAGAGCGGCCCGCGUAGGAUUAGCUAGUUGGUGGGGUAAAGGCCACCAAGGCUACGAUCCUUAGCUGGUCUGAGAGGAUGAUCAGCCACAUUGGGACUGAGACACGGCCCAAACUCCUACGGGAGGCAGCAGUGGGGAAUCUUGCGCAAUGGGCGAAAGCCUGACGCAGCCAUGCCGCGUGAAUGAUGAAGGUCUUAGGAUUGUAAAAUUCUUUCACCGAGGACGAUAAUGACGGUACUCGGAGAAGAAGCCCGGCUAACUUCGUGCCAGCAGCCGCGGUAAUACGAAGGGGGCUAGCGUUGCUCGGAAUUACUGGGCGUAAAGGGAGCGUAGGCGGAUAGUUUAGUCAGAGGUGAAAGCCCAGGGCUCAACCUUGGAAUUGCCUUUGAUACUGGCUAUCUUGAGUACGGAAGAGGUAUGUGGAACUCCGAGUGUAGAGGUGAAAUUCGUAGAUAUUCGGAAGAACACCAGUGGCGAAGGCGACAUACUGGUCCGUUACUGACGCUGAGGCUCGAAAGCGUGGGGAGCAAACAGGAUUAGAUACCCUGGUAGUCCACGCUGUAAACGAUGAGUGCUAGUUGUCGGCAUGCAUGCAUGUCGGUGACGCAGCUAACGCAUUAAGCACUCCGCCUGGGGAGUACGGUCGCAAGAUUAAAACUCAAAGGAAUUGACGGGGGCCCCGCACAAGCGGUGGAGCAUGUGGUUUAAUUCGAAGCAACGCGCAGAACCUUACCACCUUUUGACAUGCCCGGACCGGCAGAGAGAUCUGUCUUUCCCUUCGGGGACUGGGACACAGGUGCUGCAUGGCUGUCGUCAGCUCGUGUCGUGAGAUGUUGGGUUAAGUCCCGCAACGAGCGCAACCCUCGCUAUUAGUUGCCAUCAGGUUUGGCUGGGCACUCUAAUAGGACCGCCGGUGGUAAAGCCGGAGGAAGGUGGGGAUGACGUCAAGUCCUCAUGGCCCUUACAAGGUGGGCUACACAC
Molecule: ribosomal RNA, 1174 nt
Filed under: Caulobacter sp. B11
Lineage: Bacteria; Pseudomonadati; Pseudomonadota; Alphaproteobacteria; Caulobacterales; Caulobacteraceae
Description: bacterial SSU rRNA
Rfam family: Bacterial small subunit ribosomal RNA
Source: RNAcentral